This 253-nucleotide ribosomal RNA is filed under the name uncultured bacterium. RNAcentral describes it as "partial 16S ribosomal RNA". It matches the Rfam family "Bacterial small subunit ribosomal RNA", at positions 524 to 776 of the family's 1533-position model. The record is from RNAcentral.
UACGUAGGGUGCGAGCGUUACUCGGAAUUACUGGGCGUAAAGCGUGCGCAGGCGGUUAUCCAAGUCCGUUGUGAAAGCCCCGGGCUCAACCUGGGAAUGGCAGUGGAAACUAGGGGACUGGAAUCUGGCAGAGGGGGGUGGAAUGCCGCGUGUAGCAGUGAAAUGCGUAGAGAUGCGGCGGAACACCGAUGGCGAAGGCAGCCCCCUGGGCUGAGAUUGACGCUCAGGCACGAAAGCGUGGGGAGCAAACAGG